UCCAGCAGCUAUGAAGUCAAACUCGGGGUGGGGUUUUGAUCUCCACGUGGGUUCAUAAGUUCAGGCUCAGCUGUUACACAGGCACUGGGAUCGCUGCUCUGCCGUGAGUGGGGGGGCGUGGGGGACAAGGCAAAAGACCCCAAAAGACGCAUAGCCAGACAGGCAACAUGCAAGCAUCUCAUCAGCCCGCUCUGCAUCUGAAUUAGCCUUCUCUGCACACAUGGUCACCGCUGCCGAACCCGAGGCAACUUGGUUCUUGGGCACGAGUUCUUGUCCUGUCUUUUGUUGUGUGUUUUCUUCUUCUUUCUCUUGUGCCGCACUGUCAAGAAAGGGGCAGCUGAGCGCGCGGGUGCAACGGCCCCACGCGGGCCGGGACAGAGCCUGCGCCUCGCGUGGGGGCACGCUCCCGAUCACACACGCGCAGAACCCGACGGUCCUGACCGGCCGCAGCACCCCCACAGCGCCCUCCCCCUCGCCACGUCAGAUUUGCAUAUUCGAUGCGGCUUUUUGUUCUGUUCUCUUUCUAUUCGGCCCCAUUUAUUUCUAUUUAUGUUCUAUUUCCAUUUCUAUUCCUUUUCUUUUCCUGUUUCUUCUCUGUUUCUUUUCCCGGCAGCCCGGGCGGCCGCUGCUCUUCUCAUUUGCAUGUCCCCGCCCUUGGGGGGGGCAGCAGCGCCCCGGUCGAGGAGCAUCACUGCGCAUGCGCGAAGCCGUGGCUGCAGUACCGAAACCGGCCACCAGGCGGCAGCACCGGAAAAAAAAACCGAAAUGGCUGAAGCAGAAACCCCGAGGAGGGACAGAAAUGGGAACAAUUGCAAACACCAGCGCAGGAGACAACCCCAGCGAGGCUGCGGGACAGGCUCGUGCCACCAGCAGGAUCUGCACUCACACAUCUGCCACCACAGCUCCGGCCCUCGCGACGCCGACGCCGCCGCUGCUGCUGCUGCUGCUGCUGCUGCUGCUGCUGCUGCUGCUGCUGGGUCGGUCGGUAAAGCUGAAAGCGUGCAGUUCCAGAGAGUGACAUUAAAAAGUAAAGAACCAGCCACAGCCAUUCACUGACACAAACCUCAUGAGGUUUGACAAGAGGUGCAACUGUCAGCCUGCUUUUUCCUUCAAGGACAGGAGUCAGUUCUGUUGAUCAAAGAACAACUCUGAUCUCACCUGCCUGCGCUUCUGCCCCACACCCAGACUGGGGCCCUGCAGGAAACUCGGGCAGCUCUCAGCUUGUCCCGCAGCAGUGGCAGCGCGUCAGGCAUCAAACCCAGACCUCGGGCCUGAGUGCGCAGAGGGGAACGCUGGGGGCCAUGGGGACGGUCACUGCAGUGAGCCCAACCAGAAGACUAGUGAACGGUUGAGGAGUCAGUGAUCGAUAUAACAGUUAACCUGAGAAGGCACAGGCCUCUGCUGUGCUGCGCUGCAUGUAGAGCUUGGCCUUCAGGUGUGCGUUGUGCUGUGCAUACGCUUGGUCACAGCACAAACUUAGCUGACUUACUGUGCCAAAGGAGCCUGUAGGCAAUUCCUCCUUGGCACUGGUGAUGACGUGUAUUUGUUUUUAUCUUACAUUGAAGCAGCAUGUUCUCAAGUGAACGUUCUCUUGUUUGACAGUAAAAGGACGAGUAGAAUCAUUUGCUUGCAAGAAAAUCCCGUAAGAGCUCUGAAGACGUCAGCAGAUCCUCCCCAUAGACAAGAGCUGCACUGCGGGCUGAGCCUCCUCUGGAGGUCUCUGAUUCUGCACCAUGUGAUGUUCCCAGCAUCUGAAGGAAUGUGAGAUUAUACCAUGCUCUUUUUCCUUCUAGUGCUAGCUUCAAUAAAUGGAAUUUUUAUCAAUAA
Long non-coding RNA from Columba livia (rock pigeon), 1827 nucleotides. RefSeq lists it as uncharacterized. The record is from RefSeq and is a predicted model, not a curated record. The transcript has 2 exons. NCBI's taxonomy places the organism in Eukaryota, Metazoa, Chordata, Aves, Columbiformes, Columbidae.